UGGCGACCGGCGCACGGGUGAGUAACACGUAUCCAACCUGCCGAUAACUCGGGGAUAGCCUUUCGAAAGAAAGAUUAAUAUCCGAUAGGAUAUCAAGGUCGCAUGAUCUUGAUAUUAAAGAAUUUCGGUUAUCGAUGGGGAUGCGUUCCAUUAGUUAGUUGGCGGGGUAACGGCCCACCAAGACGACGAUGGAUAGGGGUUCUGAGAGGAAGGUCCCCCACACUGGUACUGAGACACGGACCAGACUCCUACGGGAGGCAGCAG
RNAcentral lists this ribosomal RNA (264 nucleotides) under uncultured bacterium. RNAcentral describes it as "partial 16S ribosomal RNA". It matches the Rfam family "Bacterial small subunit ribosomal RNA", at positions 89 to 354 of the family's 1533-position model. The record is from RNAcentral.